This 650-nucleotide ribosomal RNA is filed under the name uncultured bacterium. RNAcentral's name for it is "bacterial SSU rRNA". It matches the Rfam family "Bacterial small subunit ribosomal RNA", at positions 69 to 712 of the family's 1533-position model. The record is from RNAcentral.
GCAGCACGGGAGCAAUCCUGGUGGCGAGUGGCGAACGGGUGAGUAAUAUAUCGGAACGUGCCCAUUCGUGGGGGAUAACGUAGCGAAAGUUACGCUAAUACCGCAUACGAUCUACGGAUGAAAGCGGGGGAUCGCAAGACCUCGGUAUAAUGGGGAGCGGCCGAUAUCAGAUUAGCUUGUUGGUGGGGUAAAAGCCCACCAAGGCGACGAUCUGUAGCUGGUCUGAGAGGACGACCAGCCACACUGGGACUGAGACACGGCCCAGACUCCUACGGGAGGCAGCAGUGGGGAAUUUUGGACAAUGGGCGCAAGCCUGAUCCAGCAAUGCCGCGUGCAGGAUGAAGGCCUUCGGGUUGUAAACUGCUUUUGUACGGAACGAAACGGUCCUUUCUAAUACAAGGGGCUAAUGACGGUACCGUAAGAAUAAGCACCGGCUAACUACGUGCCAGCAGCCGCGGUAAUACGUAGGGUGCGAGCGUUAAUCGGAAUUACUGGGCGUAAAGCGUGCGCAGGCGGUUUUGUAAGACAGAUGUGAAAUCCCCGGGCUUAACCUGGGACCUGCAUUUGUGACUGCAAGGCUGGAGUACGGUAGAGGGGGAUGGAAUUCCGCGUGUAGCAGUGAAAUGCGUAGAUAUGCGGAGGAACACCGA